UGCCAGCAGCCGCGGUAAUACGGAGGGUGCAAGCAUUAAUCGGAUUUAUUGGGUGUAAAGAGCAUGUAGGCGGAUAAGUAAGUCAGAUGUGAAAUUUCGGAGCUCAACUUCGAAGCUGCAUUUGAAACUACUUAUCUUGAGGGUAGACGGAGAAAACGGAAUUCCAAGUGUAGCGGUGAAAUGCGUAGAUAUUUGGAAGAACACCGGUGGCGAAAGCGGUUUUCUAGUUUAUUCCUGACGCUGAGAUGCGAGAGCAAGGGGAGCAAACAGGAUUAGAUA
RNAcentral lists this ribosomal RNA (279 nucleotides) under uncultured bacterium. RNAcentral's name for it is "partial 16S ribosomal RNA". It matches the Rfam family "Bacterial small subunit ribosomal RNA", at positions 506 to 784 of the family's 1533-position model. The record is from RNAcentral.